Molecule: non-coding RNA, 641 nt
Organism: Erythranthe guttata (spotted monkey flower)
Lineage: Eukaryota; Viridiplantae; Streptophyta; Magnoliopsida; Lamiales; Phrymaceae
Source: RefSeq, a predicted model, not a curated record
CGAUUCACAAAUAUUGGACUUGAUUUAUGUAUAUUGACUUAUCUUAUUGACCCCGGGUUUAGUAGCACUUUCUGCGAGCGUCAAUGGCGAAUCCUAUCGACCACAGAGAAAUCGAGAAAAGCUUCGCCGCUAACUUGCUCUUGCUCCUCUCAUAUAUCUCUUCUAGGAACUGCGCUCCGAUCGUCCUUCUAUUAACGUAAUUCAACUUCCAACGUUUCUUUCGCUGCCAUAUGUUAAAUGUGAUUUUCUCCUAAAGUGGUAAUUGUCCGAAACAACGUUUUUUAAAUUUAUUCGAUGGCUCUUUAUCGAUUAUCGAAAAUCUAACAUUGUUCGUAUGUGCGAUUAUCCAAAAAAAUAAGUGACAGUUGUUUUAUUUAUUUUUUUUGUUUUGCUGAGUAGAAGGAGCUCACAUGGGAGAGGAAAAAGACCCCCAAAAGAGGUAGGUAAGAGUUCUUCUUAGGACAGCCCCACAAGUUUUGUUUCUGUCUGUGUACCUAAGCACAUGAUAUCCACGAGCUCAUGAGUUGGCUUAAUCCCAGAUUAUUUCCUACCCAAUUAAACAUGUCAUUUGAGCUGCUUAACCAAUCCUAAUACAUUUAAAAAAAAUAAUCAGUAUUAUUUAAAUUACCCUUUCUUUUUCU